GGCUGGUCUGAGGCAGUGGUAUUUACAACUAAUUGAUCACAACCAGUUACAGAUUCCUUUGUUCACUUUCCACUCCCACUGAUUCACUUGACUAGCCUUAA
RNAcentral lists this Y RNA (101 nucleotides) under Propithecus coquereli (Coquerel's sifaka). RNAcentral's name for it is "Y RNA (ENSPCOG00000011051.1)". It matches the Rfam family "Y RNA". From Rfam's summary of the family: Y RNAs are components of the Ro ribonucleoprotein particle (Ro RNP), in association with Ro60 and La proteins. The Y RNAs and Ro60 and La proteins are well conserved, but the function of the Ro RNP is not known. In humans the RNA component can be one of four small RNAs -- hY1, hY3, hY4 and hY5. Lineage: Eukaryota; Metazoa; Chordata; Mammalia; Primates; Indriidae. The record is from Rfam by way of RNAcentral.